GAGGAAAGUCCAUGCUCACACGGCUCUGAGAUGACCGUAGUGUUCGUGCUACCUGAAAAAAUAAGGGUAGGCAAAGGAAACUUUGACGGCGGAAGGAAUACCUAAGUCUUUUGAUAUGGUAGACACUUCCUGAAAGUGCCACAGUGACGAAGCUUGCUUGGAAACUUGCAAGGUGGAACGAGGUAAACCCCACGAGUGAGAAACCCAAAUUAUGGUAGGGGAACCGUCCCGAAGGAAUUGAACGGAGGGAGGGACGUUUUAGCUUGCUAAAGCGUAGAUAGAUGAUUACUACCUAGUCGUACGAGGGGAAACCCGUUUGAGUACUUAGGAACAGAACAUG
RNAcentral lists this RNase P RNA (340 nucleotides) under Weissella confusa. Its description in RNAcentral is "partial RNase P RNA component class B". It matches the Rfam family "Bacterial RNase P class B", at positions 35 to 355 of the family's 365-position model. From Rfam's summary of the family: Ribonuclease P (RNase P) is a ubiquitous endoribonuclease, found in archaea, bacteria and eukarya as well as chloroplasts and mitochondria. Its best characterised activity is the generation of mature 5'-ends of tRNAs by cleaving the 5'-leader elements of precursor-tRNAs. Lineage: Bacteria; Bacillati; Bacillota; Bacilli; Lactobacillales; Lactobacillaceae. The record is from RNAcentral.